UACAGAGGGUGCAAGCGUUGUUCGGAAUUAUUGGGCGUAAAGCGCGUGUAGGCGGCUUUGCAAGUCGGGUGUGAAAGCCCUCAGCUUAACUGAGGAAGUGCGCCCGAAACUGCUUGGCUUGAGUACCGGAGAGGAUGGCGGAAUCCCCCAAGUAGAGGUGAAAUUCGUAGAUAUGGGGAGGAACACCGGUGGCGAAGGCGGCCAUCUGGACGGAUACUGACGCUGAGACGCGAAAGCGUGGGUAGCAAACAGG
Molecule: ribosomal RNA, 253 nt
Filed under: uncultured bacterium
Lineage: Bacteria
Description: partial 16S ribosomal RNA
Rfam family: Bacterial small subunit ribosomal RNA
Source: RNAcentral